CGUUUCCAGUUGAGAGAUGGCGGCCGCCGCAGGUAGAUCGCUCCUGCUGCUCCUUUCCUCCCGGGGCGGCGGCGGGGGCGCCGGCGGCUGCGGAGCGCUGACUGCUGGCUGCUUCCCCGGGCUGAGCGUCAGCCGCCACCGGCAGCAGCAGCACCACCGGACGGUCUUUCACUACCUUUCCUACAGUGGUUGGCAAGAUAUCGUUUCCACCUCACUCUCCAUGUACCAUGCCAGUGACAUCUUAGCUGCUAGAGUGUGGAGCUGGCCUGUGGGAGUCAAGUAUUGGUGAUGUGACGUGUUCACGCAGGGGAAACUUGAACAUUCUCAGGUUCACCAGAGGCUUUCUUCUUGGCAGAAUUUGGGAGUUGUUUAUUGCAGUACUGUUGUGCCCUCUGAUGAUGUGACAGUGGUGUAUCAAAAUGGGUUACCUGUGAUAUCUGUGAGGCUACCAUCCCGGCGUGAACGCUGCCAGUUCACACUCAAACCUAUCUCAGACUCUGUUGGUGUGUUUUUACGACAACUACAAGAAGAGGAUCGGGGGAUUGACAGAGUUGCGAUCUAUUCACCUGAUGGCGUUCGCGUCGCUGCCUCGACAGGGAUUGACCUCCUCCUCCUUGAUGACUUUAAGCUGGUCAUUAAUGACUUAACGUAUCAUGUGCGUCCGCCAAAGAGAGACCUCUUAAGCCACGAAAAUGCAGCAACACUGAAUGAUGUAAAGACACUAGUCCAGCAACUGUACACCACACUGUGCAUCGAGCAGCACCAGCUAAACAAGGAAAGGGAGCUUAUCGAAAGAUUAGAGGAUCUCAAAGAGCAAUUGGCGCCCCUGGAAAAGGUACGAAUCGAGAUUAGCAGAAAAGCCGAGAAGAGGACCACUUUGGUGCUAUGGGGUGGACUUGCCUACAUGGCCACACAGUUUGGCAUUUUGGCCCGGCUUACCUGGUGGGAAUAUUCCUGGGACAUCAUGGAACCAGUCACCUAUUUCAUCACUUAUGGAAGUGCCAUGGCAAUGUAUGCAUAUUUCGUAAUGACACGCCAGGAGUAUGUUUAUCCACAAGCCAGAGACAGACAAUACUUACUAUUUUUCCAUAAAGGAGCCAAAAAGUCACGUUUUGACCUAGAGAAAUAUAAUCAACUCAAGGAUGCAAUUGCUCAGGCAGAAAUGGACCUUAAGAGACUGAGAGACCCAUUACAAGUACAUCUGCCCCUCCGACAAAUUGGCGAAAAAGAUUGAUCUGCAAAGAGCCUCUGAAUCCUGGCAGAAAGAACACCUGUUUAUAACUAUUGCCUUUUUAAUUAAGUUUGCAGGUGGAAGCUGGGAGCCAUGUUGGGGUAGAGGGUUUUUACCUUUAAUUAAAAAACAAGAACUAAAAGGAUCUUAGGGAAGAAAAGAAUGUUAAAAAUCUGAGGAUCAGGCUUUGUGAAAUGUAAGCUCAAAGGGCUUAGUGAAUAUUGUCUUAAUCAAGCACAUCAGUUCCUGGAUGAAAAUGAUGCAUUAUAUAGAGAGAUUCAUAAAGAGAAAAUGUGCUGGGGUGUUCGUUUCUUACAUCUUUGCAGGGUCAGCAAAAUAGUAACACACCAGCACCCCACUCAGCUCUAAUUUUUUUUAUUUAACUUUUCUUAUUUUUGACAUAGGAGUAAAUAUACCAGAAAAGUAAAUCCUUAAGACAUGUGGGUGGCAGAUUCUGAGCCCAUGUCAUUAGUAUUCAUUUUAAAUUGGAUCCAGCCUCUACAAAGUUAACCAGGAAUCUCUCCUGCUUGUGCCCCUUUUCUGAUUACCCACACCUGUUGGUUAGACUAAUAUUAUCCAUAUGAUAAUUGGAACCAACGUAUGACUGUUUGAUAAUUGAUACUUUGGAUUAUCCCUUAUUAUCUUCUUAAAUGUCUGUAUAUUCCAGUGCUCUGGAUCAGUAUCUAGGAAUCAUUGGCAACACUGCAUGAGGUUUUUUUGUUUUGUUUUGUUUUUUACUAAUUAAUCUUUAAGAGGCAGAAUUUCCCUCCUUUAACUAUCUGAUUGAUAUUCCCUCCACAACUCAAAUCGGAGGGGGAGUGUUCAGCUGUAUUACUAAAUCAGAAAAAUGUAAGGUUUACAAAUUGGCUAAAAAUCAUGGCUUUGUAGCCAUUUCAGAACCAGAAUGAUUUUAUUGCUGUUAAUCUGCUUGUGUGACAGCAUUUUAGGCCACCCAGAUGGCGCUGCCUUGUCUGGAGGCUUUGUUAAUCUCAAAGGACACACAUUCACUUCCACAGUUUGUGAGCCCUCCCCUCUCCACCACUUCAGUAGCUGUAAAUCAAGUGUGUGGAUCUCAAAGGGUGCAAUUUAUCUUUAUACAGAAAUACAUUUCUAUGGCUUCUUUCAACCUACCCUCUUCACCCGAUUUUUUCUUAUCUUAAAUCGAGAGAAAGAAGCAUUUAUCUUAUACUCUAUCAAAAUAUUUUCUACCAUAUUUCCAGAUGACAUCUGCAUUUGAAGAAUCAAGAGAAUCUGUGUCUAAUAUUCUGUUUUUAAUUACUGUGGGGGCCGGAUCUAGAGGAUGAUGGGGCUUGCCACACAGUUGAUUGGCUUUUUUCUUUCACAUGAUUCAUCCCUUCUCAUUGUGACAAGGGAUUUCUUUCUCUCUUUCUUUCUCCUUUGGGAUUAUUGUGUAUGAAAGGAAAAAUUUUAAAUGACAAACCCAGAUUCCAGGUGCCUUGCAGAGGUUGAAGGCUAACCAGGAUUGCUGCUGCUGCUGCUCCUGCCACCACCCCUUCCACUGGCAUGAUGAAAUGAAAGGAUGCAUGUCUCUACUUCCCAACCCCUCCUCCCACUUCCUUCCCCUGCCCACCCCUAGUCAUUCAACCUCUUCCUUCAUUUAUUUUUGUUAAGUUGUGUGAAUUAUUUUUAAACCAUUUAUCCUGUUUGUGCGCAGGUUUUUAAAGAAGAAACAGCACAGUGCAAUGAGCAAAUCCUUUCAGGGUGUGUGGGAGGCAAGGGAGAGUGGAUGGACGUGGAGAAAAGUUCUUUAAACAAAUAGCAAAAUAUUGAACAUGUGUAAAAUCCUGUAUCAUUUAUGAAAUAUGUAUAAAAAGCAAUGUACCUUCUGGAACAAUAAAUACUUAUUCGAUUUUUGAA
Molecule: RNA transcript, 3109 nt
Organism: Pteropus alecto (black flying fox)
Lineage: Eukaryota; Metazoa; Chordata; Mammalia; Chiroptera; Pteropodidae
Gene: MCU
Gene name: mitochondrial calcium uniporter
Exons: 10
Source: RefSeq, a predicted model, not a curated record